CGUCUACAACGCAACGACCUGCCAAGCCAGCUAUAACUUUCGGGCCCCUUUAGCACAACAUCAGUCAUAUGAUUGUAAGUUAGAUGAUUUAGUCUAAGAUUUGAUACACUUAUUGUUAGUAUCCAAAGGGAGAAGAUUCAAUAAAUAAAUGCAAAGCAUUUAAAAAAAAAAAAAGGAAAAAUCAGGUUUUAGUAUCCUUAAAAUAGGAUUGAAUUAUUCUCAUUAAUAGUACAAAACUUCAAAAAUAAAAGGUAUGUCAACGAGUACAGAUUGUGCUUAAGUCAAUAAUAGAACGCACUUAUUAUGUUUGCUAUGAAAGAACAAAUGUUGCUUAAUUCUAAUAGGAAAUUAAUAAUUGCCCUUAUAUACUCUGAAUCGCAUAUAUUACCGUACGCUUCUGUUUUUAAAACAUUACAAAUUUUACGAGUACAUAUGAACAAAGAACACAACGAAUUGAAUAUUAUUUAUAAUUAAUAAUGAAGUUCUCCAAACAACCACAUUUUGUGCUUAGAUCGGAGAAAGAAAUGAAAAAUGUAUAAUUGUCCUUAUAUACAUAUGUACUCUGAAACGGAAAACGGAAAUACGUCAGGAUUUUUCAUACAGUCCAAUCUACGCCUGGUCGCUUAUACACAUCCCCAAUUGUGCAAUUUUGUUGUAAAAAAAUUGACACAAGUGUAAGUGUUAUCUUAUUAUGUAAGCGAUGGGCUGAAAAAAUAUCGAUAGUUUGAAGCUUGCCCAAAACAAAAAGUAUUCAUUUGAAUCAAAGCAUUAAAAAAAGUAUAAAGAACUCUUUAAUUAAUAUAUAUAUUAAUAUAUAUAUAUAUAUGAAUAUAUUUAAUAGGUAAAGUUAACUAUAGAACAAAAAUCUCGAUACCAACGCGAGAUGAUAUUUGAUAUAUCGAUACAAGUGAAUGGUAGCCCCAGCUCUAGAAAGGAGCCAUUCACUUUUGAUCUGAUCGCGGGUGCCAAAGUUAUGUGAAAAUGAGUGCAAAAAGUGACGCGAAGCUGGAAGAGUUUUUAAAAGAAUAUGAACUGGAAGAUGUUUGGGACUACCUCGAAACUUAUUUUAUUACCUUUUCAUAGAUUUAUAUAUCUGAAUACUGUUCUUUAAAUUUAAAGAAUAAACAUGGUUAAAAAAACCGAAUAUUAAUGUUCUUUUAACUAAGGAAGAUUUAAAGGAAUCCGUUCCACCUUUGGGUCCUAGGUCAAGAUUUCGAGAGAAGCUGCUGGAGAAAAUCAAUAGUAAGUAAUUUCUGAAGUUCUAACAAGUAUUAAAUAUUUUUGAAUGCAGACGCCGCCUAAAUUUUAUUAUAAGGCAAAGCAGGUGCUAGGCAAAAGCUUGGGCACUUUAUUGGCGGAGACCAAUAGAGGGAGAACUAUUUUGGGUCAAGGAAAAAAACAGAUGUCUUUAAGCCUGGAUAUGAAGAACGAUCUUAUAAGCAUUAUCCUUGUGGAGAUCUUCUCAACAGGGAUAACUAUCAAAUAUUCAGAUUUUAGUCUGUUGCUGGACGAAAUUUGCUGUCUUUUACCUGGCGAAGAGAAAUGCAAGGAUUACUACUUCAUUUCCCGAGACGGUAAAAAACAUCCAUCGGGCAAACUGUAUUCCAAAUACAAAAUCGAAGAUCAAGGAUCAAGCUAGAACUACUGAAGAUUUGGAAAACCAAACCACCGAAGACUCAGAAUCGGAUUGUAUCGCACUUUCUCUGAAGUUUUCUCUUAAUAGAGAUGGUGUCAAUUGGGACUUAGUGCGCGAGAAAUGGAAGAAGACCUUCCAUCUUCGCCAACAAUAGAUUGAAAUUGGUUUUGAAAUGAUGUACCCAAGGAGAAGCUCGUUUUUGUUUUCGAAAUGGGAGCCGUUUAAAAAUAAAAUCUUCAAUUUCUAUUACUACAACAUUUCAAACGAAGCUUGUAAAUGGCUGCUUAAACAAGCAAAAUUAUGCAAGAAAAUUGGACUGAUCAGCAUUCUUCUGUACGCGGCUUUACCAUCGAUUGCGCGCUUGUUCAUAUAUGAAAAAAAUAUUCAAGAAUUCAUAUCCCUUCCAAUUCAUGUCUAUACUUUAAAUAAUUGUAAGUUUUAUAUAGGGCUGAAGUAUGUAUAACAUAUAACGCAAGUUAUAUCAAAAUUAUCAUUAUAUCAAAAUCAAUGAUGCGAUACAUUAAAACCAUAAAAUAAAUCUAAAACUAAAAAAAACCUCCUUUUUUUUCUGCAAGCCCAAUGCCUUCUUAAUUGAAGAAUUAUAAGUUCUUAUGUAAAGAACUUUUUCGGCUGGAUUAUAGAAUUUUAAACUCUUAAUGGAGCAUGAUUUGUUCUUAUUAUAAGACCAAGUUAUGUUAAAGAUAAUGCAUUUUAAUUCUUAAAAUGAGUACAUACUGUUCUUGAGGGUAGUAUGAAUAAUUCUUUUCUGAAGACUAAGUCCAGUUUAAAAUGAGAAUUAUAUAUUUUUGAUGCAAGCUGCAUAUCAUCUUGAUAUAAGCAUUGGCCAUAGUUCGCUUAAGAACAUUUUAGACCUGUUUUAAGAAAAAA
Drosophila suzukii is the source of this 2524-nucleotide non-coding RNA. NCBI's taxonomy places the organism in Eukaryota, Metazoa, Arthropoda, Insecta, Diptera, Drosophilidae. The record is from RefSeq and is a predicted model, not a curated record.